AGAGAUGUAGCCAAGUGGUAAGGCAAGGGACUUUGACUCCCUCAUGCGUUGGUUCAAAUCCAACCAUCUCUG
RNAcentral lists this transfer RNA (72 nucleotides) under Clostridium sp. CAG:678. It matches the Rfam family "tRNA". Rfam says of the family: Transfer RNA (tRNA) molecules are approximately 80 nucleotides in length. Their secondary structure includes four short double-helical elements and three loops (D, anti-codon, and T loops). The record is from Rfam by way of RNAcentral. Lineage: Bacteria; Bacillati; Bacillota; Clostridia; Eubacteriales; Clostridiaceae.